Molecule: ribosomal RNA, 505 nt
Filed under: uncultured bacterium
Lineage: Bacteria
Description: partial 16S ribosomal RNA
Rfam family: Bacterial small subunit ribosomal RNA
Source: RNAcentral
GACGAACGCUGGCGGCGUGCCUAAUACAUGCAAGUAGAACGCACAGUUUAUACCGUAGCUUGCUACACCAUAGACUGUGAGUUGCGAACGGGUGAGUAACGCGUAGGUAACCUGCCUGGUAGCGGGGGAUAACUAUUGGAAACGAUAGCUAAUACCGCAUAAUAUUAAUUAUUGCAUGAUAAUUAAUUGAAAGGUGCAAUUGCACCACUACCAGAUGGACCUGCGUUGUAUUAGCUAGUAGGUGAGGUAACGGCUCACCUAGGCGACGAUACAUAGCCGACCUGGGAGGGUGAUCGGCCAAACUGGGACUGGGACACGGCCCAGACUCCUACGGGAGGCAGCAGUAGGGAAUCUUCGGCAAUGGACGAAAGGCUGAACGAGCAACGCCGCGUGAGUGAAGAAGGGUUUCGGAUCGGAAAGCUCUGUUGUAAGAGAAGAACGGGUGUGAGAGUGGAAAGUUCACACUGUGACGGUAUCUUACCAGAAAGGGACGGCUAACUACGUG